This 342-nucleotide long non-coding RNA is filed under the name Manihot esculenta (cassava). RNAcentral's name for it is "long non-coding RNA (MESC_LNC006016)". Lineage: Eukaryota; Viridiplantae; Streptophyta; Magnoliopsida; Malpighiales; Euphorbiaceae. The record is from RNAcentral.
GCAAGUUCUGGAAUAAGAUCAAGUCUAGUCUGGGAAUGGGUAGUGGCUCAAGCUCUGGCACAGGCAGUACAAUGUGCAUGAGAUGUGGAAGGCCGCACAAAGGAGUUUGUCGUAUGGGAUCUACAGCCUGCUUUAAGUGUGGGCAGGAGGGACAUUUUGCUCGGGAAUGUCCUCAGUUGACCUUUAUGGUACCAUCCCAGCAGAUGAGCUCAGGCAGUGUGGCACAGCCAGCAGCACCAGCCAUGCCUCAGAGUAGUGGCAGAGGUAGAGGGAGAGGGUCAGCCUCUUCUUCAGCGGCAGGUUCCCGAGGUGACGGUCUGGUAGCCCCAGCACGGAUCUUCA